UACGUGGGUCCCGAGCGUUGUCCGGAUUUAUUGGGCGUAAAGCGAGCGCAGGCGGUUAGAUAAGUCUGAAGUUAAAGGCUGUGGCUUAACCAUAGUACGCUUUGGAAACUGUUUAACUUGAGUGCAAGAGGGGAGAGUGGAAUUCCAUGUGUAGCGGUGAAAUGCGUAGAUAUAUGGAGGAACACCGGUGGCGAAAGCGACUCUCUGGUCUGUCACUGACGCUGAGGUGCGAAAGCGUGGGUAGCAAACAGG
This 252-nucleotide ribosomal RNA is filed under the name uncultured bacterium. Its description in RNAcentral is "partial 16S ribosomal RNA". It matches the Rfam family "Bacterial small subunit ribosomal RNA", at positions 524 to 776 of the family's 1533-position model. The record is from RNAcentral.